CGUGACGCAGCAACGCCGCUGGGGGAAGAAGGCCUUCGGGUUGUAAACCCCUUCAGUUGGGACGAAGCUUCGACGGUGAACAGCCGUCUGGAGUGACGGUACCUUCAGAAGAAGCCCCGGCUAACUACGUGCCAGCAGCCGCGGUAAUACGUAGGGGGCUAGCGUUGUCCGGAAUCAUUGGGCGUAAAGCGCGUGUAGGCGGCCCGGUAAGUCCGCUGUGAAAGUCGGGGGCUCAACCCUCGAAAGCCGGUGGAUACUGUCGGGCUAGAGUACGGAAGAGGCGAGUGGAAUUCCUGGUGUAGCGGUGAAAUGCGCAGAUAUCAGGAGGAACACCAAUUGCGAAGGCAGCUCGCUGGGACGUCACUGACGCUGAGACGCGAAAGCGUGGGGAGCAAACAGGAUUAGAUACCCUGGUAGUCCACGCUGUAAACGAUGGGCACUAGGUGUGGGGGGUGUCGACUCCCUCCGUGCCGAAGCUAACGCAUUAAGUGCCCCGCCUGGGGAGUACGGCCGCAAGGCUA
Molecule: ribosomal RNA, 521 nt
Filed under: uncultured Actinomycetes bacterium
Lineage: Bacteria; Bacillati; Actinomycetota; Actinomycetes
Description: bacterial SSU rRNA
Rfam family: Bacterial small subunit ribosomal RNA
Source: RNAcentral